RNAcentral lists this long non-coding RNA (463 nucleotides) under Triticum aestivum (bread wheat). RNAcentral describes it as "long non-coding RNA (TAES_LNC013135)". Lineage: Eukaryota; Viridiplantae; Streptophyta; Magnoliopsida; Poales; Poaceae. The record is from RNAcentral.
UUAUUUAUUUCCUUCAAGCAUAAUGGGACACACAUAUUCUACCUAUGUAUGUGUGAGAUUUAUAUCUACCUAUGUAUGUGAUAGACAUAUUUCUACCUAUGUAUGCGAGAGACAUAUUCUACCUAUGUAUGCGAGAGACAUAUUUCUAUUAAUUUGCAUUGUUAUUCGAGUUACAUUUCCAGAGAGACUGCUACGGAUAAUUAAGACAUCUGAAUUAAACAGUAUGAAUGAGCUUAAAUAAUACAACAUACAAAUUACAUGAAGACAUCAUCGUCAUCCUCCGUCGAUGCAACACUCUUGCCCUUCAACGAUGCGGCACUCUUGGCGUUGGACGAUGUAGGUGUCCUGGCCUUGGUGCUCGGCAUGAAGAUAUCGUCUUCAUCUUUGCUGUCGACAGUCCAUAAAUAAGUAUGUUCUGCUGCAUUCUUUAGGAAAGUUUCACCCUUAUUGUUGGGGAACGUAG